UCCGAGCUCACGGGGCUCAGCUUGAGAGACAUUGAGACAUGAGAGAGAUAACAAGAAGAGUGGUUCUCAGAAUCUACCACCGAAUCGGAAUUGCGACCCUCUGAGAAGAAUUGAAGAGAAACUCAGUGGAUGACGCGGGCGAGUCGCGCCUUCCUUAUCUCUGCUAGUUGUUCCGGCGUGAACGAUGAAGGCUGGUUUGGGAGUUCGAACCUAGAAAAAUAAAACCGAUAUAAAACAUGAAA
Long non-coding RNA from Bombyx mori (domestic silkworm), 242 nucleotides. RefSeq lists it as uncharacterized. Lineage: Eukaryota; Metazoa; Arthropoda; Insecta; Lepidoptera; Bombycidae. The record is from RefSeq and is a predicted model, not a curated record. The transcript is spliced from 2 exons.